UACGUAUGGUGCAAGCGUUAUCCGGAUUUACUGGGCGUAAAGGGAGCGCAGGCGGCGCGCCAAGUCUGAUGUGAAACCCCGGGGCUCAACCCCGGGCAUGCAUUGGAAACUGGCGGGCUGGAGUGCCGGAGAGGUAAGAGGAAUUCCUAGUGUAGCGGUGAAAUGCGUAGAUAUUAGGAGGAACACCAGUGGCGAAGGCGGCUUACUGGACGGCAACUGACGCUGAGGCUCGAAAGCGUGGGGAGCAAACAGG
Molecule: ribosomal RNA, 253 nt
Filed under: uncultured bacterium
Lineage: Bacteria
Description: partial 16S ribosomal RNA
Rfam family: Bacterial small subunit ribosomal RNA
Source: RNAcentral